This is a non-coding RNA of Picea glauca (white spruce), 123 nucleotides long. The record is from Rfam. Lineage: Eukaryota; Viridiplantae; Streptophyta; Pinopsida; Pinales; Pinaceae.
AUGUAUAUGCCUACAACAUAGCGUUAAUGCACUGGAUCCCAUUAGAACUCCGUAGUUAAACAUGCUCAGGUUAGAGUAGUAUUGGGAUGGGUGACUGCUCGGGAAGUCCUAGUUUUUUACAUG